AACGAACGCUGGCGGCAUGCCUAACACAUGCAAGUCGAACGAACCCUUCGGGGUUAGUGGCGCACGGGUGCGUAACGCGUGGGAACCUGCCUUUAGGUUCGGAAUAACUCAGAGAAAUUUGAGCUAAUACCGGAUAAUGUCUUCGGACCAAAGAUUUAUCGCCUUUAGAUGGGCCCGCGUUAGAUUAGAUAGUUGGUGGGGUAAUGGCCUACCAAGUCGACGAUCUAUAGCUGGUCUGAGAGGAUGAUCAGCCACACUGGGACUGAGACACGGCCCAGACUCCUACGGGAGGCAGCAGUGGGGAAUAUUGGACAAUGGGCGAAAGCCUGAUCCAGCAAUGCCGCGUGAGUGAUGAAGGCCUUAGGGUUGUAAAGCUCUUUUACCAGGGAUGAUAAUGACAGUACCUGGAGAAUAAGCUCCGGCUAACUCCGUG
Molecule: ribosomal RNA, 433 nt
Filed under: uncultured Alphaproteobacteria bacterium
Lineage: Bacteria; Pseudomonadati; Pseudomonadota; Alphaproteobacteria
Description: bacterial SSU rRNA
Rfam family: Bacterial small subunit ribosomal RNA
Source: RNAcentral